GCCCCCGUAGCUCAACGGAUAGAGCAGUGGGUUUCUACCCCAUGCGUGAGGGUUCGAUUCCUUCCGGGGGUG
Molecule: transfer RNA, 72 nt
Filed under: Actinomycetes bacterium
Lineage: Bacteria; Bacillati; Actinomycetota; Actinomycetes
Also listed under: 1 other name
Description: tRNA-Arg
Rfam family: tRNA
About the family: Transfer RNA (tRNA) molecules are approximately 80 nucleotides in length. Their secondary structure includes four short double-helical elements and three loops (D, anti-codon, and T loops).
Source: RNAcentral